AACGCACAUUGCGCCCCCUGGUAUUCCGGGGGGCAUGCCUGUCCGAGCGUCAUUACAACCCUCAAGCUCAGCUUGGUGUUGGGCCCCGCCGCCCCGGCGGGCCCUAAAGUCAGUGGCGGUGCCGUCCGGCUCCGAGCGUAGUAAUUCUUCUCGCUCUGGAGGUCCGGUCGUGUGCUUGCCAUCAACCCCCAAUUUUUUUCAGGUUGACCUCGGAUCAGGUAGGGAUACCCGCUGAACUUAAG
This 242-nucleotide unclassified non-coding RNA is filed under the name Pseudogymnoascus appendiculatus. RNAcentral describes it as "sequence contains 5.8S rRNA gene". The stretch from base 1 to 52 matches the Rfam family "5.8S ribosomal RNA", at positions 103 to 154 of the family's 154-position model. The record is from RNAcentral. Lineage: Eukaryota; Fungi; Ascomycota; Leotiomycetes; Thelebolales; Thelebolaceae.